ACGUGGGUCACUCGUACGCUUUAGCCAAUCAGAUGCAAGCUUACCAUUCAACCAAUCAUAACCCGCCAAGAGCGCAGCACUCAAGGAGCUCAGCAUUGCACACCUUUUGCGCAAUCAACUGAAAUGAAGCUUCACGUCAUCAACCAAGCAUGGCGAAUGAAGUGCGGGAUAUACGUGUAAGUUAUUACUUUAUUUCAUAUUGUUUCAUAAUUUAAUAUUGCUAAAAUAACACACAUUACACUCGCUGUUUACAAAAGAUUCCCGCGAUUAACGUGAAUGACGUUAAUCGUGUUGCAAGACAGACUGUCUUACCUAACAGUAAGAAGGAGAAGUGUUUUUUAAAGUUAAAUCAACAACUUUGAGGGUACGUUAAGUAUUCUCAUCUCAUGCUAAAUCCUCGUCUCUGUUUCUGACCAGUUAAUAUUGAUCUUUGUAUUAUUUAUCUAUUUAGUUAAAUAGUAAACACUUACAAUAUAGUCUUUAUGUUAUGCCUAAAGUGUUUGUUUUCGCAAUGUACAUACAGAUUGUUACUGACUGUGAGUAGUUUUUCAGUAAGGAUCAGGUCACUGCAUGCAUAGAUAUGUAUAUAAAGGCUAGAUGGCUCAAGGCGGAGUCCCUAACGGCAUCACCUGGCGGCCAUCUUACGACAGGGCGCUCGCUCACUCGUAGCAUUGAGUUUAAUGGUGCAGGUACUUUUAAAUGACCAUAACUUGCUCAAUUUUCUACCGAUUUUCAAACGGUUUGGGUUUUUACAAACGUUAUUAACGUGGCUAUAAUUCUGGAUGCUUUAACAUGUUUCAUGAAUUUUUUUUUUUUUUUAGUAUAGGUAUGCAGUGUCAUAGGUACAUCUUUGACGUUUAUAACAAACCAAACCGUUUGAAAAUCGGUAAAAAAUUAAGCAAGUUAUGGUCAUUUAAAAGUACCUGCAUCAUUAAAACUCAAUGCUACGAGUGAGCGAGCGCCCUGUCGUAAGAUGGCCGCCAAAAUGCGGACGUUGCACUCAAUUGGCCAGCAGCGCGGACGAGCCAUCUAGCCUUUAUAUACAUAUCUAUGACUGCAUGAGAGAUCAGGGUGAGGGCGACUUGUUUCAGGUCGAUGAGAAAGUCAAACAACAUAAACUGAGUGUAUAUGAAAACACAAAAGACAGCUAAAAUGCAUUUUAAGCAGACGUUUUUGUGGGUUCUACAUCUGUGCAUAGACAGGCUAAAUCUGUUCAUAAGUGGUUCAGUUUCAUGACAGUAGCCUAGUAAAUAGAGUUUACAUAUUUAGAAUCAGUUUACAUAUAACAUUGAUUCUUAAUUCUUGAUAUUGUUUAAUGUCAUUUAUUCACCGAUUGUAUUAAAGGACUCUCGUCGUGUAAUACUGUCACAGAGCAGUUGUUCUUGUGUUGCUGGGACAGCACAUUGUUGCACUACUCAGAGCUCAGUGAAGUUCACAGCUGUACUGAAACGGUUGAGAGCUGACACAGACCUAGAACAAUGAGGUUCUGUCUGCAAGACCCAAAGAAAGGAAGCUUGCUAAUGUAUUAAGGAGUACUUUUUAAAAGAGUGUCACCUGUAAGCUGCCUGACCUCACAGUCCUCCAAGUAGUAGAGGCAUUUAAGGACUUUGCCAGUGCUGUAGCCCCUUCGGUCACCACUAUCAAGAUGUCACAUGUCAAUUCUUUGGUGGAUUUUGGCUUUGGCAGAGUUUAGUAUGGAAGUGUGCUGUCAUACCAGCAGCAACAACACGCAACCUUAAUCGCUAUCUACAACCCCAUAACUACAACCUCUGCAACUAUUUGGCUACAGCCUUGACACAUCUGUUUGCUUGAUAGUUAUUUAUAUUUACAUGUUUACAUUUCUGAAGUUAAGGUAGUUAUUUACAGUAUAUUACAUACAUACUUUACUGCAAUGUAAAUGUUCGAAGUCAUUUAGUUUUACAUUCAUGCAGUGCAGGCAACACUGUAUGAAAGUUAUUUACAGUAUAUUUAAAUACAUUACUGCAUUGUAAAUGUUCAAAGUCAUUUAUAUUUACAUGUUUACAUUCCUGCAGUGCAGGCAACCCUGUAUUAAAGUUAUUUACAGUAUAUUUAAAUACAUUACUGCAUUGCAAAUGUGUAAAGUCAUUUAUAUUUACAUUCCUGCAGUGCAUGUAACACUAAAUAAAAGUUAUUUACAGUAUAUUUACAUUCAUUACUGCAUUGCAAAUGUUCAAAGUCAUUUAUAUUUACAUGUUUACAUUCCUGCUGUGCAGGCAACACUGAAUGAAAGUAAUUAACAGUAUAUUUAAAAACAUUACUGCAUUGCAAAUGUGUAAAGUCAAUAUUUACAUUCAGUGCAGGCAACACUGAAUAAAAGUUGAUUAUAUACAAGUCAAUAUUAUUUAUACCUGAACAAAACUAAAUGCAAUACUUGGU
Molecule: non-coding RNA, 2397 nt
Organism: Misgurnus anguillicaudatus (oriental weatherfish)
Lineage: Eukaryota; Metazoa; Chordata; Actinopteri; Cypriniformes; Cobitidae
Source: RefSeq, a predicted model, not a curated record